RNAcentral lists this ribosomal RNA (465 nucleotides) under Vreelandella stevensii. RNAcentral's name for it is "partial 16S ribosomal RNA". It matches the Rfam family "Bacterial small subunit ribosomal RNA", at positions 338 to 795 of the family's 1533-position model. Lineage: Bacteria; Pseudomonadati; Pseudomonadota; Gammaproteobacteria; Oceanospirillales; Halomonadaceae. The record is from RNAcentral.
CCUACGGGAGGCUGCAGUGGGGAAUAUUGGACAAUGGGGGCAACCCUGAUCCAGCCAUGCCGCGUGUGUGAAGAAGGCCCUCGGGUUGUAAAGCACUUUCAGUGAGGAAGAACGCCUGGUGGUUAAUACCCAUCAGGAAAGACAUCACUCACAGAAAAAGCACCGGCUAACUCCGUGCCAGCAGCCGCGGUAAUACGGAGGGUGCGAGCGUUAAUCGGAAUUACUGGGCGUAAAGCGCGCGUAGGUGGCUUGAUAAGCCGGUUGUGAAAGCCCCGGGCUCAACCUGGGAACGGCAUCCGGAACUGUCAAGCUAGAGUGCAGGAGAGGAAGGUAGAAUUCCCGGUGUAGCGGUGAAAUGCGUAGAGAUCGGGAGGAAUACCAGUGGCGAAGGCGGCCUUCUGGACUGACACUGACACUGAGGUGCGAAAGCGUGGGUAGCAAACAGGAUUAGAUACCCGAGUAGUC